GAUGAACGCUAGCUACAGGCUUAACACAUGCAAGUCGCAGGGUAACAUGAGGAAAGCUUGCUUUCCUUGAUGACGACUGGCGCACGGGUGAGUAACGCGUAUCCAACCUUCCCAUAACUACGGGAUAACCCGUUGAAAGACGGCCUAAUACCGUAUGAUAUCGUUUGCUGACAUCAAAUAACGAUUAAAGGUUUAGCGGUUAUGGAUGGGGAUGCGUCUGAUUAGCUUGUUGGCGGGGUAACGGCCCACCAAGGCGACGAUCAGUAGGGGUUCUGAGAGGAAGGUCCCCCACAUUGGAACUGAGACACGGUCCAAACUCCUACGGGAGGCAGCAGUGAGGAAUAUUGGUCAAUGGGCGAGAGCCUGAACCAGCCAAGUAGCGUGCAGGACGACGGCCCUAUGGGUGGUAAACUGCUUUUAUGGGGGGAUAAAGUGCGUGACGUGUCAUGCAUUGCAGGUACCACAUGAAUAAGGACCGGCUAAUUCCGUG
This 490-nucleotide ribosomal RNA is filed under the name uncultured bacterium. Its description in RNAcentral is "partial 16S ribosomal RNA". It matches the Rfam family "Bacterial small subunit ribosomal RNA", at positions 28 to 507 of the family's 1533-position model. The record is from RNAcentral.